GAAUUCGCCCUUAGAGUUUGAUCCUGGCUCAGGACGAACGCUGGCGGCGCGCCUAACACAUGCAAGUCGAACGGAGCUUAGAGAGCUUGCUUUUUAAGCUUAAUGGCGAACGGGUGAGUAACGCGUGAGUAACCUGCCCUAGAGUGGGGGACAACAGUUGGAAACGACUGCUAAUACCGCAUAAGCCCACGGUGCCGCAUGACACUGAGGGAAAAGGAUUUAUUCGCUUUAGGAUGGACUCGCGUCCAAUUAGCUAGUUGGUGAGGUAACGGCCCACCAAGGCGACGAUUGGUAGCCGGACUGAGAGGUUGAACGGCCACAUUGGGACUGAGACACGGCCCAGACUCCUACGGGAGGCAGCAGUGGGGGAUAUUGCACAAUGGGGGAAACCCUGAUGCAGCGACGCCGCGUGGAGGAAGAAGGUUUUCGGAUUGUAAACUCCUGUCGUUAGGGACGAUAAUGACGGUACCUAACAAGAAAGCACCGGCUAACUACGUGCCAGCAGCCGCGGUAAAACGUAGGGUGCAAGCGUUGUCCGGAAUUACUGGGUGUAAAGGGAGCGCAGGCGGGAAGACAAGUUGGAAGUGAAAACCAUGGGCUCAACCCAUGAAUUGCUUUCAAAACUGUUUUUCUUGAGUAGUGCAGAGGUAGAUGGAAUUCCCGGUGUAGCGGUGGAAUGCGUAGAUAUCGGGAGGAACACCAGUGGCGAAGGCGGUCUACUGGGCACCAACUGACGCUGAGGCUCGAAAGCAUGGGUAGCAAACAGGAUUAGAUACCCUGGUAGUCCAUGCCGUAAACGAUGAUUACUAGGUGUUGGGGGAUUGACCCCCUCAGUGCCGCAGUUAACACAAUAAGUAAUCCACCUGGGGAGUACGACCGCAAGGUUGAAACUCAAAGGAAUUGACGGGGGCCCGCACAAGCAGUGGAGUAUGUGGUUUAAUUCGAAGCAACGCGAAGAACCUUACCAGGUCUUGACAUCCGAUGCAUAGCACAGAGAUGUGUGAAAUCCUUCGGGACAUCGAGACAGGUGGUGCAUGGUUGUCGUCAGCUCGUGUCGUGAGAUGUUGGGUUAAGUCCCGCAACGAGCGCAACCCUUAUUGCCAGUUACUACGUUAAGAGGACUCUGGCGAGACUGCCGUUGACAAAACGGAGGAAGGUGGGGAUGACGUCAAAUCAUCAUGCCCUUUAUGACCUGGGCUACACACGUACUACAAUGGCGUUAAACAAAGAGAAGCAAGACCGCGAGGUGGAGCAAAACUCAGAAACAACGUCCCAGUUCGGACUGCAGGCUGCAACUCGCCUGCACGAAGUCGGAAUUGCUAGUAAUCGCAGAUCAGCAUGCUGCGGUGAAUACGUUCCCGGGCCUUGCACUCACCGCCCGUCA
This 1384-nucleotide ribosomal RNA is filed under the name uncultured bacterium. Its description in RNAcentral is "bacterial SSU rRNA". It matches the Rfam family "Bacterial small subunit ribosomal RNA". The record is from RNAcentral.